RNAcentral lists this unclassified non-coding RNA (556 nucleotides) under Parvospeonomus delarouzeei. Its description in RNAcentral is "partial contains 16S ribosomal RNA (rrnL) and tRNA-Leu (trnL)". The stretch from base 302 to 408 matches the Rfam family "Archaeal large subunit ribosomal RNA", at positions 2594 to 2701 of the family's 2987-position model. Lineage: Eukaryota; Metazoa; Arthropoda; Insecta; Coleoptera; Leiodidae. The record is from RNAcentral.
CUGGAAUGAAUGAUUGGACGAAAUAAUAACUGUCUUAGUUUAAAUUUUAGAAUUUUAUUUUUAAGUUAAAAAGCUUAAAUUUUUUUAAAAGACGAGAAGACCCUAUAGAAUUUUAUAUUAUUUAAAUUUUUUAUUAUUAGUAAUUUUAUAUAGAAAAUUAUAAAGAGUAUUUAGUUGGGGUGACUGAAAAAUUAAAUUAACUUUUUUUUGUAUUUAACAUUGAUGUAUGAUUUUUUGAUCCAUAUUUUUUGAUUAUAAGAUUAAAUUACCUUAGGGAUAACAGCGUAAUUUUUUUAGAGAGUUCGAUGUUGAAUUAAAGUUUAUUUUUAAUGCAGGAGUUAAAAUAUUAGGUCUGUUCGACCUUUAAAACUUUACAUGAUCUGAGUUUAAACCGGUGUGAGCCAGGUUGGAUUCUAUCUUUAAUAAAAUUAAAUAUUUUAGUACGAAAGGACCAAGUAUUUGUUAUAAUAAUUUAUUUUAGGAUAAUAUUAUUAUUUUGGCAGAUUAGUGCUUUAAAUUUAGAAUUUAAUUAUGUGUAUAUUAACACAAGUAAUAC